GAUGAACGCUGGCGGCGUGCUUAGCACAUGCAAGUCGAACGGGAAACCUUUUAUUGAAGCUUCGGCAGAUUUAGCUGGUUUCUAGUGGCGGACGGGUGAGUAACGCGUGGGUAACCUGCCUUAUACAGGGGGAUAACAACCAGAAAUGGUUGCUAAUACCGCAUAAGCGCACAGGACCGCAUGGUCCGGUGUGAAAAACUCCGGUGGUAUAAGAUGGACCCGCGUUGGAUUAGCUAGUUGGCAGGGUAACGGCCUACCAAGGCGACGAUCCAUAGCCGGCAUGAGAGGGUGAACGGCCACAUUGGGACUGAGACACGGCCCAGACUCCUACGGGAGGCAGCAGUGGGGAAUAUUGCACCAUGGGGGAAACCCUGAUGCAGCGACGCCGCGUGAAGGAAGAAGUAUCUCGGGAUGUAAACUUCUAUCAGCAGGGAAGAUAGUGACGGUACCUGACGAAGAAGCCCCGGCUAACUACGUG
This 478-nucleotide ribosomal RNA is filed under the name uncultured bacterium. RNAcentral's name for it is "partial 16S ribosomal RNA". It matches the Rfam family "Bacterial small subunit ribosomal RNA", at positions 28 to 507 of the family's 1533-position model. The record is from RNAcentral.